GACGAACGCUGGCGGCGUGCUUAACACAUGCAAGUCGAACGGAAAGGCCCUGCUUUUGUGGGGUGCUCGAGUGGCGAACGGGUGAGUAACACGUGAGUAACCUGCCCUUGACUUUGGGAUAACUUCAGGAAACUGGGGCUAAUACCGGAUAGGAGCUCCUGCUGCAUGGUGGGGGUUGGAAAGUUUCGGCGGUUGGGGAUGGACUCGCGGCUUAUCAGCUUGUUGGUGGGGUAGUGGCUUACCAAGGCUUUGACGGGUAGCCGGCCUGAGAGGGUGACCGGCCACAUGGGGACUGAGAUACGGCCCAGACUCGUACGGGAGGCAGCGGUGGGGAAUAUUGCACAAUGGGCGGAAGCCUGAUGCAGCAACGCCGCGUGCGGGAUGACGGCCUUCGGGUUGUAAACCGCUUUCGCCUGUGACGAAGCGUGAGUGACGGUAAUGGGUAAAGAAGCACCGGCUAACUACGUG
This 468-nucleotide ribosomal RNA is filed under the name uncultured bacterium. RNAcentral describes it as "partial 16S ribosomal RNA". It matches the Rfam family "Bacterial small subunit ribosomal RNA", at positions 28 to 507 of the family's 1533-position model. The record is from RNAcentral.